UGAAACGUCAUAGUGAGGAUUCCAGUCUUUCAAAAGGGAAGAUUUACUGCACCACAUAAAUUCUUCUGCUAUUGCUUUUUCUUCCUAUAACAAAGUGUCUACAGGGAAGACAGAGAGAUGGUACCAGAAGCCAGAAUAUUAUUUACAAAACAAGGAAGAAGACAAACUGCUGUUAAGGAACAAGCAUGUUUCUGGGAAUGAUUGUUGUCCAGGAAAAUUCUCCAGUGGGGGAAAAAAAAAAGAAGAAAAGAAGAAAUUAAAACAGAAGUUCAAGGAUAAGAUCAUUCUAGAAACAAGGAUAAAAACAAUUAAACACAAUAACUGAAGCGUGUAACUGACAAACGUGGAAAAUCGUAAAAUCUGACACUAAAGUUCUUGACAGUGCAAAAGAACACUUAUGUACCCAAGCCCCAUUAAUUUUUGGUGAGAACCGGAUAGCUAGCUGUUCUUGCUGCCUUUGAAAAUGUUCCUAUAAUCAAUCUUAAAAGAAUUUCCAGUCUUCUGAAAGUUUUCCUAUAAAAAGAAAUGUACCUUGCACUAAUUUCUUGCACUGUCUUCUCAAUUACUGCUUAUAUUUGAAAAGCUUUUUCUAUUCUGCUCA
RNAcentral lists this long non-coding RNA (601 nucleotides) under Numida meleagris (helmeted guineafowl). RNAcentral's name for it is "lncRNA (ENSNMEG00000008611.1)". Lineage: Eukaryota; Metazoa; Chordata; Aves; Galliformes; Numididae. The record is from RNAcentral.